Molecule: ribosomal RNA, 1346 nt
Filed under: uncultured bacterium
Lineage: Bacteria
Description: partial 16S ribosomal RNA
Rfam family: Bacterial small subunit ribosomal RNA
Source: RNAcentral
GACGAACGCUGGCGGCGUGCUUAACACAUGCAAGUCGAACGGAAAGGCCCUGCUUUUGUGGGGUGCUCGAGUGGCGAACGGGUGAGUAACACGUGAGUAACCUGCCCUUGACUUUGGGAUAACUUCAGGAAACUGGGGCUAAUACCGGAUAGGAGCUCCUGCUGCAUGGCGGGGGUUGGAAAGUUUCGGCGGUUGGGGAUGGACUCGCGGCUUAUCAGCUUGUUGGUGGGGUAGUGGCUUACCAAGGCUUUGACGGGUAGCCGGCCUGAGAGGGUGACCGGCCACAUUGGGACUGAGAUACGGCCCAGACUCCUACGGGAGGCAGCAGUGGGGAAUAUUGCACAAUGGGCGGAAGCCUGAUGCAGCAACGCCGCGUGCGGGAUGACGGCCUUCGGGUUGUAAACCGCUUUCGCCUGUGACGAAGCGUGAGUGACGGUAAUGGGUAAAGAAGCACCGGCUAACUACGUGCCAGCAGCCGCGGUGAUACGUAGGGUGCGAGCGUUGUCCGGAUUUAUUGGGCGUAAAGGGCUCGUAGGUGGUUGAUCGCGUCGGAAGUGUAAUCUCGGGGCUUAACCCUGAGCGUGCUUUCGAUACGGGUUGACUUGAGGAAGGUAGGGGAGAAUGGAAUUCCUGGUGGAGCGGUGGAAUGCGCAGAUAUCAGGAGGAACACCAGUGGCGAAGGCGGUUCUCUGGGCCUUUCCUGACGCUGAGGAGCGAAAGCGUGGGGAGCGAACAGGCUUAGAUACCCUGGUAGUCCACGCUGUAAACGGUGGGUACUAGGUGUGGGGUCCAUUCCACGGGUUCCGUGCCGUAGCUAACGCUUUAAGUACCCCGCCUGGGGAGUACGGCCGCAAGGCUAAAACUCAAAGGAAUUGACGGGGCCCCGCACAAGCGGCGGAGCAUGCGGAUUAAUUCGAUGCAACGCGUAGAACCUUACCUGGGUUUGACAUGGAUCGGGAGUGCUCAGAGAUGGGUGUGCCUCUUUUGGGGUCGGUUCACAGGUGGUGCAUGGCUGUCGUCAGCUCGUGUCGUGAGAUGUUGGGUUAAGUCCCGCAACGAGCGCAACCCUUGUUCACUGUUGCCAGCACGUUAUGGUGGGGACUCAGUGGAGACCGCCGGGGUCAACUCGGAGGAAGGUGGGGAUGACGUCAAGUCAUCAUGCCCCUUAUGUCCAGGGCUUCACGCAUGCUACAAUGGCUGGUACAGAGAGUGGCGAGCCUGUGAGGGUGAGCGAAUCUCGGAAAGCCGGUCUCAGUUCGGAUUGGGGUCUGCAACUCGACCUCAUGAAGUCGGAGUCGCUAGUAAUCGCAGAUCAGCAACGCUGCGGUGAAUACGUUCCCGGGGCU